Molecule: ribosomal RNA, 490 nt
Filed under: uncultured bacterium
Lineage: Bacteria
Description: partial 16S ribosomal RNA
Rfam family: Bacterial small subunit ribosomal RNA
Source: RNAcentral
GAUGAACGCUAGCUACAGGCUUAACACAUGCAAGUCGCGGGGCAGCAUGGGGGUUGCUUGCAAUCCCCGAUGGCGACCGGCGCACGGGUGAGUAACGCGUAUUCAACCUGCCCUUCACCACGGGAUAACCCGGCGAAAGUCGGACUAAUACCGUAUGUUGUCCAUUGACGGCAUCCGAUUUGGACGAAAGGCUUGGCGGUGAGGGAUGGGGAUGCGUCCGAUUAGCCAGACGGCGGGGUAACGGCCCACCGUGGCUACGAUCGGUAGGGGUUCUGAGAGGAAGGUCCCCCACACUGGAACUGAGACACGGUCCAGACUCCUACGGGAGGCAGCAGUGAGGAAGAUUGGUCAAUGGGCGUAAGCCUGAACCAGCCAAGUAGCGUGCAGGAUGACGGCCCUAUGGGUUGUAAACUGCUUUUAUGCGGGGAUAAAGUGGCCCACGUGUGGGCUUUUGCAGGUACCGCAUGAAUAAGGACCGGCUAAUUCCGUG